This 439-nucleotide ribosomal RNA is filed under the name uncultured bacterium. RNAcentral describes it as "partial 16S ribosomal RNA". It matches the Rfam family "Bacterial small subunit ribosomal RNA", at positions 339 to 795 of the family's 1533-position model. The record is from RNAcentral.
CUACGGGUCGCUGCAGUGAGGAAUAUUGCACAAUGGGGGGAACCCUGAUGCAGCAACGCCGCGUGGAGGAUGACGCAUUUCGGUGUGUAAACUCCUUUUAUAUGUCGAGAAAAUGACGGUAGCAUAUGAAUAAGCGCCGGCUAACUCCGUGCCAGCAGCCGCGGUAAUACGGAGGGUGCAAGCGUUACUCGGAAUCACUGGGCGUAAAGGACGCGUAGGCGGGUUGGAAAGUCAGGUGUGAAAUCCUACAGCUUAACUGUAGAACUGCACUUGAAACUUCUAAUCUAGAGUAUGGGAGGGGGAGAUGGAAUUAGUGGUGUAGGGGUAAAAUCCGUAGAUAUCACUAGGAAUACCUAAAGCGAAGGCGAUCUCCUGGAACAUUACUGACGCUAAGGCGUGAAAGCGUGGGGAGCAAACAGGAUUAGAUACCCCGGUAGUC